RNAcentral lists this ribosomal RNA (468 nucleotides) under uncultured bacterium. RNAcentral describes it as "partial 16S ribosomal RNA". It matches the Rfam family "Bacterial small subunit ribosomal RNA", at positions 28 to 507 of the family's 1533-position model. The record is from RNAcentral.
GACGAACGCUGGCGGCGUGCUUAACACAUGCAAGUCGAACGGAAAGGCCCUGCUUUUGUGGGGUGCUCGAGUGGCGAACGGGUGAGUAACACGUGAGUAACCUGCCCUUGACUUUGGGAUAACUUCAGGAAACUGGGGCUAAUACCGGAUAGGAGCUCCUGCUGCAUGGGGGGGGUUGGAAAGUUUCGGCGGUUGGGGAUGGACUCGCGGCUUAUCAGCUUGUUGGUGGGGUAGUGGCUUACCAAGGCUUUGACGGGUAGCCGGCCUGAGAGGGUGACCGGCGACAUUGGGACUGCGGGACGGCCCAGACUCGUACGUGAGGCAGCAGUGGGGAAUAUUGCACAAUGGGGGGAAGCCUGAUGCAGCGACGCCGCGUGCGGGAUGACGGCCUUCGGGUUGUAAACAGCUUUCGACUGAGACGAAGCGUGAGUGACGGUAAUGGGUAAAGAAGCACCGGCUAACUACGUG